CCUACGGGCGGCAGCAGUGGGGAAUAUUGGACAAUGGGGGGAACCCUGAUCCAGCCAUGCCGCGUGUGUGAAGAAGGCCCUCGGGUUGUAAAGCACUUUCAGUGAGGAAGAACGCCUGGUGGUUAAUACCCAUCAGGAAAGACAUCACUCACAGAAGAAGCACCGGCUAACUCCGUGCCAGCAGCCGCGGUAAUACGGAGGGUGCGAGCGUUAAUCGGAAUUACUGGGCGUAAAGCGCGCGUAGGUGGCUUGAUAAGCCGGUUGUGAAAGCCCCGGGCUCAACCUGGGAACGGCAUCCGGAACUGUCGAGCUAGAGUGCAGGAGAGGAAGGUAGAAUUCCCGGUGUAGCGGUGAAAUGCGUAGAGAUCGGGAGGAAUACCAGUGGCGAAGGCGGCCUUCUGGACUGAAACUGACACUGAGGUGCGAAAGCGUGGGUAGCAAACAGGAUUAGAUACCCCUGUAGUC
This 465-nucleotide ribosomal RNA is filed under the name Vreelandella stevensii. RNAcentral's name for it is "partial 16S ribosomal RNA". It matches the Rfam family "Bacterial small subunit ribosomal RNA", at positions 338 to 795 of the family's 1533-position model. Lineage: Bacteria; Pseudomonadati; Pseudomonadota; Gammaproteobacteria; Oceanospirillales; Halomonadaceae. The record is from RNAcentral.